Non-coding RNA from Paramuricea clavata, 1130 nucleotides. Lineage: Eukaryota; Metazoa; Cnidaria; Anthozoa; Malacalcyonacea; Plexauridae. The record is from the annotation of a GenBank genome assembly.
GUUUUCCUAUUACUUUCCUUAUUAAAUUUCAGAACGACACUUGCCAGCGCUCGCCGGAAGUGCGAAUUCCGUGUGACACAAAAUAAUCAGCAAUUUGACGGGAGAUUUAUAUCUGUAUUUACCUCAUCUGUGGUUAAAUCUUCCGUAUGAUGACGUUGGACUUAUGCCUGAUUAUACGCGUGAUGGCACAGCGCGCGUUCAAACUUUCCCGCGAGGAAUCGCUUCCGGUGGCGGCACUUCUUGUUCAAUAGUUUUGGAAAGUUUGAACGCGCGCGCGCUGUGCCAUCACGCGUAUAAUCCAAAUAUAAGUCCAACGUUAUCAUACGGAAGAUUCAACCACAGAGUAAAUACAUAUACAGAGUUGUAACUAGUGUACCCACUUUUUUUUGUGCGCAUGCUCGGCAAGUUACUAGAUGCAUGCAUCUGAUUGGAUGACGACUCGCUUCAGCUGCUCGUGGAACUUGCCGAGCACGCGCAGUUGAUCAUUUUUUGCCCAGUCGCCUGAAAAAAAGUGGGUACAUGAAAACAUAAGUUCCGCAGUGUUUACAACGGUCAGUUACAGCUCAGCAUAUGUAUAUUUACUCUGUGAUUCAACCGUCACUUGUAACGCCGUCAUCUGAUGAUCACACUCAGCGUGAAACUCAGAGUUGUAUAUUAAUAUAUGCCUCCUUGCAUGGCGAUCUAAAAUUUAUAACAAAGAUAAUGAAAUAAUUAUUGACAAUAAUAUAAACAAUUACAUUUAAACAGAUUAUUACAAUAAUAUACAUUUAGUAAGUUAGUCAAUUGGAAGUUACAAUUAUAAAUGUCUUCGCCUGGCAGCCACUGGGUUUGAUAUAAUUAUUGACAAUUGAAUAUAAACAAUUACAUUUAAACAGAUUAUUACAAUUUUAUACAUUUUGUAAGUUAGUCAAUUGGAAGUUAGAAUUAUAACUAUAAUAGCUAUUAUAGCUAUAAAUAGCUUACAAUAAUGUUUAUUUCCCGAACCGGUUUGACAUAUUUUUACAAAUGGCCAAUCACAUGCGAGAUUCAAAUUCUGAACUUAAUCAUGUGUGGAAGUGGGAUUUGCAACUGAUGUGACCAGAGGCUCUUCCUUCUAGUCUCUUGUUUCUGUCGCUUCGCUAAGAGCCACU